GAUGAACGCUGGCGGCGUGCCUAAUACAUGCAAGUCGAGCGAACAGACGAGGAGCUUGCUCCUCUGACGUUAGCGGCGGACGGGUGAGUAACACGUGGAUAACCUACCUAUAAGACUGGGAUAACUUCGGGAAACCGGAGCUAAUACCGGAUAAUAUAUUGAACCGCAUGGUUCAAUAGUGAAAGACGGUUUUGCUGUCACUUAUAGACGGAUCCGCGCCGCAUUAGCUAGUUGGUAAGGUAACGGCUUACCAAGGCAACGAUGCGUAGCCGACCUGAGAGGGUGAUCGGCCACACUGGAACUGAGACACGGUCCAGACUCCUACGGGAGGCAGCAGUAGGGAAUCGUCCGCAAUGGGCGAAAGCCUGACGGAGCAACGCCGCGUGAGUGAUGAAGGUCUUCGGAUCGUAAAACUCUGUUAUUAGGGAAGAACACAUGUGUAAGUAACUAUGCACGUCUUGACGGUACCUAAUCAGAAAGCCACGGCUAACUACGUG
This 497-nucleotide ribosomal RNA is filed under the name uncultured bacterium. RNAcentral's name for it is "partial 16S ribosomal RNA". It matches the Rfam family "Bacterial small subunit ribosomal RNA", at positions 28 to 507 of the family's 1533-position model. The record is from RNAcentral.